UCCGGAGGGUGCAAUCGUUAAUCGGAAUUACUGGGCGUAAAGCGCACGCAGGCGGUUGGAUAAGUUAGAUGUGAAAGCCCCGGGCUCAACCUGGGAAUUGCAUUUAAAACUGUCCGGCUAGAGUCUUGUAGAGGGGGGUAGAAUUCCAGGUGUAGCGGUGAAAUGCGUAGAGAUCUGGAGGAAUACCGGUGGCGAAGGCGGCCCCCUGGACAAAGACUGACGCUCAGGUGCGAAAGCGUGGGGAGCAAACAGG
Molecule: ribosomal RNA, 253 nt
Filed under: uncultured bacterium
Lineage: Bacteria
Description: partial 16S ribosomal RNA
Rfam family: Bacterial small subunit ribosomal RNA
Source: RNAcentral